AGACAUGCAGUCGAGCGGACAGAUGGGAGCUUGCUCCCUGAUGUUAGCGGCGGACGGGUGAGUAACACGUGGGUAACCUGCCUGUAAGACUGGGAUAACUCCGGGAAACCGGGGCUAAUACCGGAUGGUUGUUUGAACCGCAUGGUUCAGACAUAAAAGGUGGCUUCUGCUACCACUUAUUGAUGGACCCGCGGCGCAUUGCUAGUUGGUGAGGUAACGGCUCACCAAGGCGACGAUGCGUAGCCCACCUGAGAGGGUGAUCGGCCACACUGGGACUGAAACACGGC
RNAcentral lists this ribosomal RNA (287 nucleotides) under Bacillus subtilis. RNAcentral's name for it is "partial 16S ribosomal RNA". It matches the Rfam family "Bacterial small subunit ribosomal RNA", at positions 51 to 330 of the family's 1533-position model. The record is from RNAcentral. Lineage: Bacteria; Bacillati; Bacillota; Bacilli; Caryophanales; Bacillaceae.